RNAcentral lists this ribosomal RNA (331 nucleotides) under uncultured eukaryote. Its description in RNAcentral is "partial 18S ribosomal RNA". It matches the Rfam family "Eukaryotic small subunit ribosomal RNA", at positions 1470 to 1796 of the family's 1831-position model. The record is from RNAcentral.
CCCUUAGAUGUUCUGGGCCGCACGCGCGCUACACUGACGAAGUCAGCGAGCAUGUCCUACGCCGACAGGUGCGGGGAAUCUUGUCAAACUUCGUCGUGAUGGGGAUUGAUUAUUGAAAUUCUUGAUCAUCAGCGAGGAAUUCCUAGUAAGCGCAAGUCAGCAGCUUGCGUUGAUUACGUCCCUGCCCUUUGUACACACCGCCCGUCGCUACUACCGAUUGAACGGUUUAGUGAGGGCCUCGGAUUGGUCUCGGCCCGCUCUUUACCGGGCGGCGCCGUUGGUCGAGAAGACGCUCGAACUUGAUCGUUUAGAGGAAGUAAAAGUCGUAACA